Molecule: long non-coding RNA, 501 nt
Organism: Ictalurus punctatus (channel catfish)
Lineage: Eukaryota; Metazoa; Chordata; Actinopteri; Siluriformes; Ictaluridae
Source: Ensembl
GUGUGGACUGUGUAAUGUGUGGACUGUGUAGCGUGUGGACUGUGUAAUGUGUGGACUGUGUAGUGUGUGGACUGUGUAGUGUGUGGACUGUGUAACGUGUGGACUGUGUAACGUGUGGAAUGUGUAAUGUGUGGACUGUGUAAUGUGUGGACUGUGUAAUGUGUGGACUGUGUAGCGUGUGGACUGUGUAAUGUGUGGACUGUGUAGCGUGUGGACUGUGUAAUGUGUGGACUGUGUAACGUGUGGACUGUGUAAUGUGUGGAAUGUGUUGUGUGUGGACUGUGUAGCGUGUGGACUGUGUAAUGUGUGGACUGUGUAAUGUGUGGACUGUGUAAUGUGUGGACUGUGUAGCGUGUGGACUGUGUAGUGUGUGGACUGUGUAGUGUGUGGACUGUGUAGCGUGUGGACUGUGUAAGGUGUGGACUGUGUAGCGUGUGGACUGUGUAAGGUGUGGACUGUGUAGCGUGUGGACUGUGUAGUGUGUGGAUUGUGUAAUGUGUG